GUCUUCGUAGUGCAGAGGUCAGCACGCUCGGAUCGUACUCGAAUGGUCCGUGGUUAGAGUCCCGGCGAGGGCA
This 73-nucleotide transfer RNA is filed under the name Stegodyphus mimosarum. It matches the Rfam family "tRNA". From Rfam's summary of the family: Transfer RNA (tRNA) molecules are approximately 80 nucleotides in length. Their secondary structure includes four short double-helical elements and three loops (D, anti-codon, and T loops). Further hydrogen bonds mediate the characteristic L-shaped molecular structure. tRNAs have two regions of fundamental functional importance: the anti-codon, which is responsible for specific mRNA codon recognition, and the 3' end, to which the tRNAs corresponding amino acid is attached (by aminoacyl-tRNA synthetases). tRNAs cope with the degeneracy of the genetic code in two manners: having more than one tRNA (with a specific anti-codon) for a particular amino acid; and 'wobble' base-pairing, i.e. permitting non-standard base-pairing at the 3rd anti-codon position. The record is from Rfam by way of RNAcentral. Lineage: Eukaryota; Metazoa; Arthropoda; Arachnida; Araneae; Eresidae.